Molecule: long non-coding RNA, 563 nt
Filed under: Phoenix dactylifera (date palm)
Lineage: Eukaryota; Viridiplantae; Streptophyta; Magnoliopsida; Arecales; Arecaceae
Description: long non-coding RNA (PDAC_LNC007733)
Source: RNAcentral
CAAUUACACCAGUCAAACUCCUACUAAAACCAAAACUUUUAGGGAUAUCAAGUGCCCCAUGGUCUUCCAUCAUGGGAGGAAAAACAUAGGACCUUUAAAUCAUAAUUAAGCUGUCACGCCCCAAACCCAUCACUCGGGUCGACCACGUGAUAUGGCCACAUAAUUCCUAAAGUAAAACCCUAGGGAUCAUGUAAGGCCUAACAAGGUACAAUAUUCCCAAAACUGCCAAAAUCAAAGAUUAAUGUAAUUCAAUCAAAUCCAACUAAAAUGUACUGAUUUAUUACAUAAUUUUAAAUGUCCAUAAAUAAAAGAUAAGCUACUUCUAACUAUCUAAUAGUCUGACUCCAGAUUGAUCUCACUUCUUCUCCCACCCGACAGAUUCUACGAAUCCAGUGCCUCUAAAAAAGAAAGUAAGUAUAGUAUGAGCUUUUCCAGCCCAGUAAGAAUUCCAACAGCCACACACAGUAAUAAUGAUAAAAUCAUCAAAGUAACAAAUAAAUGUCAUUUCAUCAUUUCAAAAGCUCAACAAACAACAAGUAUAUAUAACCAUUUCAUAUACAUAA